CUGUCCGACGAAAGGGGCGUUACCUCGAUUCAAUGAGCGUGCGCUAUCUCUCCUGGAGAGUAGCAAACGGAGACUGUGAUAGUGUUGUUGUGUUAGCUAGUCACCUAUAAACCUAUCUCAGGUGCGAAGUUGCAGAAUGGCCUUUGCGUUUUCAUGGGGGAGGUCGUGUCCGGUGAAUGAUGGUGAUGUCCGAUGACCGGGGUCGCAGAGAAGGAUCACGUUUACCGUCCUAGCAUAACCGUUUCAAGCCUUUGGAAGCCCACGUCUGGAAUCACAGUCUUUACUAAUUCUUCUUAUUGUGGCCUCUAGCAAAGCUCAGUCUUACUUCGUUUACUUCUUGCAUGGCUGUCCGAUGAUUGAUGGUGUCCGAUAACAGGGACGUCGCUCUACAGAGUUUUUGCUCGUCUCGGAAAGGAUGUCUGGAGUAUAUAUACGAGUAUCAUCUCUACCUCUGUCCAAAUAUUGCAAAUUAGUUAUAUAUCUAAGCUGCAGCAGCAGCAACAACAACAACAACAACAACAACAACAACAACAACAACAAAGCACAACUUCAAGGCUACAGCAGGGAACUGUUCUAGAUAGAUAGAUGUGUUGAAUAGUUCUAAUGUUUGUUUUAAAUCAAUUAUAAAUUGAAUUCUACUAUGUACUCCUGUUUAUAUUCCGUACAAUUGUAAUUUUGCAG
Long non-coding RNA from Corticium candelabrum, 681 nucleotides. RefSeq lists it as uncharacterized. The record is from RefSeq and is a predicted model, not a curated record. The transcript has 3 exons. Lineage: Eukaryota; Metazoa; Porifera; Homoscleromorpha; Homosclerophorida; Plakinidae.